Molecule: long non-coding RNA, 436 nt
Filed under: Bos taurus (domestic cattle)
Lineage: Eukaryota; Metazoa; Chordata; Mammalia; Artiodactyla; Bovidae
Description: long non-coding RNA NONBTAT000225
Source: RNAcentral
UAAAUGUGAAAUUAUGAAUUAUGAUUUCAGGGUUUCUUCUGGCAGAGGAGCACACAACAUGUAUCUUGUGUUCAGGUCAACACAAAAUAUAUUAAUAUAAUCAACAGCAUUAGUAGAGAUGGUAAUACUAGGAGGGAUCUUCUGGUAAUGGUAGUAUGCCAUUGUUCUGAUGUAAUGUGAUGCUGAGAAAUGUAGGACCAGACCUUUCAAUCAUUUAACGAAGACCAAGAGACAAAUGAGAUAGAAAGAAAAAUGGGAUGGAUACAUGACUGGGUCUUUUUCUCUAGCCACAGUGGAUGGAUUUGCUUUUCAGACCUUUAGCGAAGUUUGGCUGAUGAUUAAAAGAGUCCACACUUUGAUAUGUGCCACCUUUAUUUUAUAUAGCUAUACCAUGCCCGUGUAAGUUGGGGGGAAAACUGUAAAAUUCACCCAUAAC